RNAcentral lists this ribosomal RNA (458 nucleotides) under uncultured bacterium. RNAcentral's name for it is "partial 16S ribosomal RNA". It matches the Rfam family "Bacterial small subunit ribosomal RNA", at positions 29 to 507 of the family's 1533-position model. The record is from RNAcentral.
AACGAACGCUGGCGGCAUGCCUAACACAUGCAAGUCGAACGAUCCCUUCGGGGAUAGUGGCGCACGGGUGCGUAACGCGUGGGAACCUGCCCUUAGGUUCGGAAUAACUCAGAGAAAUUUGAGCUAAUACCGGAUAAUGUCUUCGGACCAAAGAUUUAUCGCCUUUGGAUGGGCCCGCGUUGGAUUAGCUAGUUGGUGGGGUAAAGGCCUACCAAGGCGACGAUCCAUAACUGGUCUGAGAGGAUGAUCAGCCACACUGGGACUGAGACACGGCCCACACACGUGAACUGGGCCACAGUCCGGAGUAUUGCAGGAGGGGGGAAUGGGGAAUAAUGGGCAGUGGGCUGAGUGAUGAACGACCAAUGCUGGGUGAGUGCUGUAGGCUUGAAGGUUGUAAAGCACUUUUACCCGGCGUGAUUAUGACGGUACCGGGAGAAUAAGCACCGGCUAACUCCGUG